GGGAGGCGCUGUUGCCAUGGCAACACUGCCGGUGCCGCGCCGGGCCGGGCCGCGCGCUGAGUACCAGCUGGGCCCGGAGGGGAGGGCCUGGGGCCUCAGAGGCCUCCGUUGAUGGGACAAGGGAUCAGGAGCUGAUUCAGGAUCUUCUGGAACAAGGUCAUAAAACUGAACUGACAGUAUCUCUUCAGCCACGACUACAAAAUGCUAUGACAGAAGAGAUUUAACUUACACUACCCUCCUUUGUUAUACGCGUCAUAAGAAAAUAUAUGAAACGUGUUCACUAUUAAGCAGCAGAGAUUGUCAUGAAUGUGUUUUCUUUAAGGCACAAUUCAGUUUUGUACCUUUUAAAACUGCUCAACCGUAGUUAUAAAGAAGAAUAGGAGAAAUAGUUCUUCCUGCUGAGUAUGUCCUAGGGUAAGGUAACCUCUGUUAGGUAUGUGUCCUACCCAGGGCAAAGGAGUUUGGGAAGGGGCUUUUCCAAGCAAAAAAGUUUGUGUCUCUUGUGAGAAGAAGUCCGUGUAAAACGUGAGGGGAAAUAGAUGUGGCAUAGAAAGUCAAGACAAGAAUCAGAACAAGCCUUGAAAAUUUUAACUCAAGAGUAACCUGGUGUGAAUAAGUGAUUAUCCCAGCAAAUGGUAGCUAAACAGAAAUGAGAGUUGGGAAUAAAAAAUGUUCAAAUUUCCUUGAACAAAGUAUGGUUCAAACAAUAAGGAGCUUUCAUAAAGAUUGUAUAUGAACAAGCUUGCAAUAAAAGUACCAAACCUUAUAACUA
Long non-coding RNA from Numida meleagris (helmeted guineafowl), 772 nucleotides. RefSeq lists it as uncharacterized. The record is from RefSeq and is a predicted model, not a curated record. Lineage: Eukaryota; Metazoa; Chordata; Aves; Galliformes; Numididae. The transcript has 2 exons.